GAUGAACGCUGGCGGCGUGCUUAACACAUGCAAGUCGAACGAAGCACUUUAUUUGAUUUCCUUCGGGACUGAUUAUUUUGUGACUGAGUGGCGGACGGGUGAGUAACGCGUGGGUAACCUGCCUUGUACAGGGGGAUAACAGUUGGAAACGGCUGCUAAUACCGCAUAAGCGCACAGCAUCGCAUGAUGCAGUGUGAAAAACUCCGGUGGUAUAAGAUGGACCCGCGUUGGAUUAGCUAGUUGGUGAGGUAACGGCCCACCAAGGCGACGAUCCAUAGCCGACCUGAGAGGGUGACCGGCCACAUUGGGACUGAGACACGGCCCAAACUCCUACGGGAGGCAGCAGUGGGGAAUAUUGCACAAUGGGCGAAAGCCUGAUGCAGCGACGCCGCGUGAGCGAAGAAGUAUUUCGGUAUGUAAAGCUCUAUCAGCAGGGAAGAUAACGACGGUACCUGACUAAGAAGCACCGGCUAAAUACGUG
RNAcentral lists this ribosomal RNA (481 nucleotides) under uncultured bacterium. RNAcentral describes it as "partial 16S ribosomal RNA". It matches the Rfam family "Bacterial small subunit ribosomal RNA", at positions 28 to 507 of the family's 1533-position model. The record is from RNAcentral.